This 403-nucleotide long non-coding RNA is filed under the name Equus caballus (horse). Its description in RNAcentral is "lncRNA (ENSECAG00000052044.1)". The record is from RNAcentral. Lineage: Eukaryota; Metazoa; Chordata; Mammalia; Perissodactyla; Equidae.
CAUCACUCUUCCAUUCAGCCCCUUCCACUCCGUUCAUCAGUCAAGUGUGUUUGUGUGAAGCCUCCAGUGCUGUGAGAAGCUUGACACUCACAGAGGUUACUAUCACAAGCAAGAAAGACCAGGGAAAGCCCACGUGUUCAUGAGAAAACUAAAGAUCUAGUUGUGGUCAGUUUAGACUUCUGUGUCUGCUCAACAGACUGACUCAUUGCAACAAAGAGGGUGAGCCAGCCAGGCCAUAGAAGUAAGAAGCAGUGACAGCAGGACCAGGAAAAUGCCGCCUUCUACACUGACCUUUCUUCACCCAGAGGGGCCUAUUCGACUGAAGGAACCCUAUCAAGAAAGUGAAAAGAGAACACACAGAAUGGGAAAAAAAUCAUAUAUCUGACAAGAGACUUGUAUCUGG